Molecule: small nucleolar RNA, 141 nt
Organism: Lactuca sativa (garden lettuce)
Lineage: Eukaryota; Viridiplantae; Streptophyta; Magnoliopsida; Asterales; Asteraceae
Product: small nucleolar RNA snoR74
Source: RefSeq, a predicted model, not a curated record
AUAAAAGCAGGGAUCUAUUGCCAAAUUAUAAAGUGAAUCGAUCUCUCGUAAACAUCAGGGAAAUAGAGCUGGGCAUCGUUAUUGGGUGAACCUCUUGAAUUCUUACAUGAUGGACAAGGUUCAGUAAACGAAGCUAUAUUU